RNAcentral lists this ribosomal RNA (279 nucleotides) under uncultured bacterium. RNAcentral's name for it is "partial 16S ribosomal RNA". It matches the Rfam family "Bacterial small subunit ribosomal RNA", at positions 506 to 784 of the family's 1533-position model. The record is from RNAcentral.
GUCCAGCCGCCGCGGUAAGACGGAGGGUCCAAGCGUUAUCCGGAAUCAUUGGGUUUAAAGGGUCCGUAGGCGGUCUGUUAAGUCAGAGGUGAAAUCCUACCGCUCAACGGUAGAAUUGCCUUUGAUACUGAUAGACUUGAGUUAUUGUGAAGUAGUUAGAAUGUGUAGUGUAGCGGUGAAAUGCAUAGAUAUUACACAGAAUACCAAUUGCGAAGGCAGAUUACUAACAAUACACUGACGCUGAGGGACGAAAGCGUGGGUAGCGAACAGGAUUAGAUA